CCAGUUCAAUCUCCCUCAUCGCUUAUCCUGCAUGUUUAGAAAUACAUGCAGGGCAUGAGUACAUAAUAUUCAGUGGACAUAUGCCGAAAAACAAAUGAAAGCUUGCUCUUAGAGCUAUAAAUUGAACUUGCCACAUUUCAGUAUUUCACAGGGAUUUUAGGAUAAACGAACCUGUGCAUGCAAAAUAUCAAUCAUGAAUAUCAUAAAUAAACGACUGCAGUCAAAAUACUCAUCAUGUAUGUACCACAUCUAUAACUCAUCAUCAUCAAAAGUACUGAGAAGUAGGCCUCCCUCUCAAGUACCGUGACUGACCGACCCGAUAGACGGCUCACAGUCACCCCUGUGCACAAAAUCCCGCCUGUGACAGGACCGAAUUCGUCUCAUCAGUAGACAGUGACAUACAAAUUUAUCAUCAUCAAAACUUGGCAAGUCAAAUAGUUUUAGUCAUCAAUUUAUCUCAUAUCAUUCAUCAUUUAUAAUUUUCAUCAAACUGAAACUUAACAUUUAAAUCAUAUCAUUCAUUUCAUUUCGUAUAAGAGGCCUACGACACGCAGGGGAUCUCUAUAUACGUAGUAAAAAUAAUGCCCACCUAGAAAUCUUAGCUUACUCUUGUCGCACUCGGGUGGACUCACUUCCGUCCUCUUCUCGUAUCUUCAGAUAUCGUCACAUCGGAGUAGUUCAUGAUAAGAAUAAAAGAAAUUAGUCAGAAACUUCCUGACUAAGAAUAUUAUUCCUGUCUUAGUACUAUUCUAUCACUCCUCAUCAUUACUCUAUGUCUAUCUCGAUUUCAUAUUGAAACUCUUCCUAAGUAAUCGCUAUCUUACUCCUGACUCAAUACUCACAUAGAACUUUACUAUACUACUUCAUCAAGCAAACACAUAAAUAUGCAUACACACAAGGCAAAAUAUGUCUCAAGUUAGCACAUAGAAGUAUUAAUCAAGUUCAUUUGCAUCAUAGCAAACAUACUUGAAAAUCUUUUUGUGAAAAUCGAAAAACAUUUUUAGUUGGAGAAAAAUGCCCAAAAAUUUAUUUUAGAAAGUCCAGGACAUAAUAUGAAACAUUCUUAAAUCAUUUAUCCAAAAAUAAUUCACAUCGACAAGCUAUGCCAUUUUAUUCUCAUUCUUGACAAACUAAACUCCGCAUUCCUUUAUCGGAUUUUUUUUUGAAAAUUCACAUUAAACUCACAUAAUGAACAAGAGCAUGAAUUCAUGAUCAAACGACUAAAGAAAAAUCAAACUCGGCUUUCCCUUUCUUAGCACACAUUCGGUCAAACCAUAGACCAAUAGGGGAUGGUUCGUUUCGUCUCAUCUUUCAUAUUUAGACUCAAAUCAUUGUCGAGAAGUCACAUAUAGACACAUUCAUCUCAUAACUCAUCUCAAAUGCAAGAUCUCUCAUAAGCACGCAAACUAAACUCGGGAAAUUUUCAUAUCUCAUCAUUAAUAAUCAAUUCAAUCAUUCUAUUAUCCUUAUUAAGUCCAAUUAGCAUAUAAAGAUAUCAAUUCAAGUAUGAUCUCAUUAAUAAAAAUCCCUAAAUAUUAUAAAUUAACUUAACAAUUUUAGGCAUUCUUAAUAAUUAAUCAAAUUGAUCAUAAAUAAUCAUUUUUAACAUGCUCAAUAUCAAUUAUGCAUAGCCAAUUUAAUGAAUUAUGACAUAGUAAUAAAGUCCAAUUUAGGUAAACUAAACUUUUGAAAAUCUACAAACAUCAUGAAUCAUUAAUCAAACUUAAAACUAUCAAAUUAACUCACUCAAUUGCAUAAUAACUCAUCAAUUAACAAUUCAUAGCAUGAAAAUAAUUUUACCCAAAUCUCAUCAAACUAACUCAUAUCAACUUUCACCAAUCCACCUCAAUCAUCAAUUUAAUCCAUCAAUCAUCAUAUUAGCUAUCAAUAACACAUAUCAAUCACAUUCAUCAAUCAACUCAAAUCAAAAUACCCAAAAUAGGUAAACUAAACUAACUCAAAAUCCAUAAUCCAUUUAAAUUCAUUCUUUGCAUUUAGAAAAGGACUAAAUAGGAUUCCAAUAGCAUAAAUAUGAUCUCAAUUUAAGAAUAGAAGAUGAAAUUUUUUUGAAGGGUAUUUAACCCCAAAUUUUCAANAAAAAAAAGCAAAAGAUAAAAGGUGGGUUUUUUCAUACUAUUUUCAUCCAUAUAAACACAUAUAUAACUCAAAUAUGUUUCGAUCUAGGUAUAUCUAACACUUACUCAAUGAUUUUUGAGUAAAAAAUAGAAUCUCCUCUUCUUGACUCAAGCUUCAAAAUCCUUCAAAGGUGCUCUUGAUUCAAGGAUAUAAGGUUUGAAACUUGAUUUUAAUGGAAAUCUAAAUAUAGAAUGGAUCUUUGAAGCUUGGAGAUUGAUUAUCCAUGGUGGUAGAAAGAGAAAGAAGGGAGGGGGAGAGAGAGUGUGUGUUGGGCGAAAAUGG
This 2418-nucleotide long non-coding RNA is filed under the name Salvia miltiorrhiza (redroot sage). RNAcentral describes it as "long non-coding RNA (SMIL_LNC006249)". The record is from RNAcentral. Lineage: Eukaryota; Viridiplantae; Streptophyta; Magnoliopsida; Lamiales; Lamiaceae.